Small nuclear RNA from Gorilla gorilla gorilla (western lowland gorilla), 107 nucleotides. The record is from Ensembl. Lineage: Eukaryota; Metazoa; Chordata; Mammalia; Primates; Hominidae.
GUGCCUGCUUUGGCAACACACAUACUAAAACUGGAAUGAUACAGAGAAUAUUAGCAUGGCUGCUGUGCAUGGAUGACAUGGAAACUUGCGAAGCAUUCCAUGAGAAA